Molecule: long non-coding RNA, 497 nt
Filed under: Felis catus (domestic cat)
Lineage: Eukaryota; Metazoa; Chordata; Mammalia; Carnivora; Felidae
Description: lncRNA (ENSFCAG00000044288.2)
Source: RNAcentral
ACCCAAAGGCUCUCGGAGUGAAAAUCAUGUGAUAAAUGGGACCAAUCAAAGUGGGAGCGUUUUCUCCGGAGGGAAGCUUGGGGAGACUUUCAGGAAGGGGCCGGACCAGUGCCAUUCAACACGCCAUCGGAGUUUCCACCCAGAGAAGCUGAGACUUCGCCGACUGCCUGACAUCUUUCACUUUGAGCUGGAUAACUGUAGUGUCUUUCCAAAGUCACUGCCUCGAAACACCAGCUUGUCAGACUCUGGACUGUCUCCCAGCAAAGCACUGGCCUUCACAGAGCCCCGCAAGAGCAGGGUGAGAAUUCCUACUGAGGCGAGGUGACGUCUGAAAGCAGAACCCGGUGGUCAACGUCAAGUCACCCGACCUCACCGAGUCGACAAAUAUUUGUUGGGCAUCUGGCGUGUGCCGCUGCAGUCAACGAGAAAGUCCGGGGAGCUUUCGUUCUCGUAGGGGAGGUUAACGUAAACGCUAAUAAAUACCAUAAAAAUGAUCA